RNAcentral lists this ribosomal RNA (141 nucleotides) under uncultured eukaryote. Its description in RNAcentral is "partial 18S ribosomal RNA". It matches the Rfam family "Eukaryotic small subunit ribosomal RNA", at positions 1299 to 1458 of the family's 1831-position model. The record is from RNAcentral.
UGGUGGAGCGAUUUGUCUGGUUAAUUCCGUUAACGAACGAGACCUCGACCUGCUAAAUAGUUUAGUGAAUUGAUUCAAUUCACCUGAACUUCUUAGAGGGACUAGUAGUGGCGUACCUGCUGGAAGAUCGAGGCAAUAACA